Molecule: ribosomal RNA, 390 nt
Filed under: fungal sp.
Lineage: Eukaryota; Fungi
Description: SSU rRNA
Rfam family: Eukaryotic small subunit ribosomal RNA
Source: RNAcentral
CGUGCGGUUCUAUUUUGUUGGUUUCUAGGACCGCCGUAAUGAUUAAUAGGGACAGUCGGGGGCAUCAGUAUUCAAUUGUCAGAGGUGAAAUUCUUGGAUUUAUUGAAGACUAACUACUGCGAAAGCAUUUGCCAAGGAUGUUUUCAUUAAUCAGGAACGAAAGUUAGGGGAUCGAAGACGAUCAGAUACCGUCGUAGUCUUAACCGUAAACUAUGCCGACUAGGGAUCGGACGAUGUUAUUAUUUGACUCGUUCGGCACCUUACGAGAAAUCAAAGUGCUUGGGCUCCAGGGGGAGUAUGGUCGCAAGGCUGAAACUUAAAGAAAUUGACGGAAGGGCACCACCAGGGGUGGAGCCUGCGGCUUAAUUUGACUCAACACGGGGAAACUCA